UAUUUAGACUUGGUGGUUCAGGAGUAGCACAAAGUACAAGGAAAAUGCUUUAUAAGGUUCUGGGCAAUGAAAUUGCACAAAAAUAUUCUUGGGAUGGGGCCAAACAGAAGAGAAGUUUGAAAUCAUUGUUAGUGGCCAAAAGCAAUUUUAGACUCCAUGAAAGGUCAAUUUCAAGAGUCAAAAGAAACCGAAAUUAUCAAUAUAAUUAAAAUAUGGCUUGUAAAAACAAAAGAAAGAUUAAAAAAUACCAAGAAGGGUAGACAAGAGAAUAUAGAAACAUAGA
Long non-coding RNA from Sitophilus oryzae (rice weevil), 283 nucleotides. RefSeq lists it as uncharacterized. NCBI's taxonomy places the organism in Eukaryota, Metazoa, Arthropoda, Insecta, Coleoptera, Curculionidae. The record is from RefSeq and is a predicted model, not a curated record. The transcript has 3 exons.